AUGCCACUGCUACCGCCUCCGCCGCCGCCGACGGCGCCUCCGGGGCGCGGGAGGCGGAGACUGGGCAGCCGACGGAGGCGACGAUCAAAGAUGAGGAACUGGGCAGAGCUGCCCCUGGACGUGAUGCUCUAUGUCCUCCACAAGCUGGACGACGUCGAGCUCAUGUUCGGCGGCGCGGCCAGGGUGUGCCGCUCCUGGCACGACGCUGUGUGCGAGCCCGAGCUGUGGCGCCGCGUCGACAUGCGCGACCGCUCCCGGCGCUUCCAGGAGACGGUCAGCCUCAACAAAGUGACGCAGCUCUCCAUUUGGUUCAGCGCCGGGCAAUGCCGAGAAUUCUUCGGCCAGCAGGACCUCGACAACGACCUCCUCUUCUUCCUGGCCGACCGGGCACCCUUACUGAAGAGCCUUCAUCUUACCAAGUGCUGUAAUGUAACCAGCAAAGGAUUGACAGAGGCAAUAAAGAAAUUCCCUCUGUUGGAGGAGCUCGAGCUUUGUGAAUGUGAGAGAUAUGACACAUGGGUCUUUGAGGUUGUUGCCGCGGCUUGUCCACUACUGAAGCACCUCAAACAUUUCAACGAUAGAGGAUAUACAUGGUAUAAUUUGGAACGGGAUAUAUACCCUGUCGACAACCGCGAAGCCCUGGCAAUUGCAAGGAUGCAUGAGCUACGGUCCCUGAAGAUUUUCCACAGUGGCCUCGACAACCAAGGGUUGACAGCCAUCCUUGGGGGCUGCCCUCACCUGGAGUCCUUGACAUACGCUAUUGCGGCAACAUAA
This 774-nucleotide ribosomal RNA is filed under the name Triticum aestivum (bread wheat). RNAcentral's name for it is "partial small subunit ribosomal RNA". The record is from RNAcentral. Lineage: Eukaryota; Viridiplantae; Streptophyta; Magnoliopsida; Poales; Poaceae.